RNAcentral lists this ribosomal RNA (465 nucleotides) under Vreelandella stevensii. Its description in RNAcentral is "partial 16S ribosomal RNA". It matches the Rfam family "Bacterial small subunit ribosomal RNA", at positions 338 to 795 of the family's 1533-position model. Lineage: Bacteria; Pseudomonadati; Pseudomonadota; Gammaproteobacteria; Oceanospirillales; Halomonadaceae. The record is from RNAcentral.
CCUACGGGCGGCAGCAGUGGGGAAUAUUGGACAAUGGGGGGAACCCUGAUCCAGCCAUGCCGCGUGUGUGAAGAAGGCCCUCGGGUUGUAAAGCACUUUCAGUGAGGAAGAACGCCUGGUGGUUAAUACCCAUCAGGAAAGACAUCACUCACAGAAGAAGCACCGGCUAACUCCGUGCCAGCAGCCGCGGUAAUACGGAGGGUGCGAGCGUUAAUCGGAAUUACUGGGCGUAAGGCGCGCGUAGGUGGCUUGAUAAGCCGGUUGUGAAAGCCCCGGGCUCAACCUGGGAACGGCAUCCGGAACUGUCAAGCUAGAGUGCAGGAGAGGAAGGUAGAAUUCCCGGUGUAGCGGUGAAAUGCGUAGAGAUCGGGAGGAAUACCAGUGGCGAAGGCGGCCUUCUGGACUGACACUGACACUGAGGUGCGAAAGCGUGGGUAGCAAACAGGAUUAGAUACCCGUGUAGUC